ACGGAAGGCAGCAGUGGGGGAUAUUGCACAAUGGGGGAAACCCUGAUGCAGCGACGCCGCGUGAGUGAUGAAGUAUUUCGGUAUGUAAAGCUCUAUCAGCAGGAAAGAUAAUGACGGUACCUGACUGAGAAGCACCGGCUAAAUACGUGCCAGCAGCCGCGGUAAUACGUAUGGUGCAAGCGUUAUCCGGAUUUACUGGGUGUAAAGGGAGCGCAGACGGCAUGGCAAGCCGGAUGUGAAAGGCAGGGGCUCAACUCCUGGACUGCAUUUGGAACUGUCAAGCUAGAGUAUCGGAGAGGUAAGUGGAAUUCCUAGUGUAGCGGUGAAAUGCGUAGAUAUUAGGAGGAACACCAGUGGCGAAGGCGGCUUACUGGACGAUAACUGACGUUGAGGCUCGAAAGCGUGGGGAGCAAACAGGAUUAGAUACCCUGGUA
RNAcentral lists this ribosomal RNA (434 nucleotides) under uncultured Lachnospiraceae bacterium. Its description in RNAcentral is "partial 16S ribosomal RNA". It matches the Rfam family "Bacterial small subunit ribosomal RNA", at positions 341 to 792 of the family's 1533-position model. The record is from RNAcentral. Lineage: Bacteria; Bacillati; Bacillota; Clostridia; Lachnospirales; Lachnospiraceae.